GAGCAUCCUUGCUCUUCAUGUCUCCGUAAACACAUCCAUGAAGAAGUGGUUCACUUUCAAGGGGAAGCUGUAAGGAAGCAUCUGAGGUUGGAGUCUCAAGGCAGGAAACAANUAUGCUCCUCCUGUGCUGCUGAGGGCACCCACAGGCGCUGCUCUGGCCUGAGAAACUGCACAGAAAGCUGGGAGUGUGACAUCUGUGCUGGUCUCGGCACAGCCUCCAGGGAUGGGCCGGAGCUCCAUGGCCCCAGCCUGACCAGCCAGUCAGGACUGGAACCUUCUCAUGGCUCCCCAGAAUCAGAGGCCAUCAGCUCCAGCUCCCACAGCCUGCUGCCAUCGGGUCUGGCUCCCCAGUCUCCAGAGACCAGCAGGCGCAGCAGCCACCGACAUGCAGCAGCGCAGACGUCGCUGCCACCUUCCUCGCUGGACACCGGCAGCUCAAGCACAUCAGGGUCAACGUACAGCAGCUCCACAGACCCUGAGAACAGGGUCCAUUGCAGAUGUGCUGGGCCUGAGCGCAGGCGAAAGCGCUCUCGCCAGCAAGGUCGGGCCCCAAAUCGACCCAUCCAGUCAAGGAGUCACCGUGACAGGAGCACCAGGGCAAAACCAAGGGCCGAGAGGCGCAGGCAAAGGGAGACACCAUCACGGCAAUUCCCCAGACAGCGUCAGGCCCAGAGUCCAUCUUUUCUGAUAAGGGAUGUAUAUGACAAGAGCCACAGGACAAUUUCAGGGACUGAGCGGCCCAGUGGAAGGGAGACACCAUCAGGGCCAGAUGCGUCCUCCAGACGCAGCUGCUCCCGCCUACAGCGUCGGGUCCAGAGUCCAGCUGUUCAGACAAGGAGUUGGAGUGACAGGAGCCACAUGAGAAUUUCAAGAGCUGACAGGCCCAGGCGAAGGGAGACAUGGUCGCAGACAUUCCCCAGACGCAGCCGCUUUCACCUGCAGCGUUGGGCCCUAAGUCCUGCUGUCCGGUCAAGGAGUCACCGUGACAGGAGCCACAGAAGAAUUUCAAGGGCCGAGAGGCCCAGGCGAAGGGACACACCAUUGUGGGCAUCUGCCACACGCAGCCGCUCCCGCCUGCAGCGUCGGGCCCAGAGCCCAGCUGUUCAGACAAGGAGUCGGCGUGGCAGGGACGACAGGACAGCAUCAGGGGCUGACAGGCCCAGGCGAGCAGAGACACCAUCAGGGCCGUCCCCCAGACGCAGCCGCUCCCGCCGGCAGCGUCGGGCCCCGAGCCCAGGGGGGGGGGGGGGGCGCCUGCAGCGUCGGGCCUCGAAUGGACCUGUCCAGUGCAGGAGUCGCCAGGACAGGAGCAGCAGCACAGCAGCAAGGGCUGACAGGCCCAGGCGCAGGGGGACACCGUCGGGGACGUCUCGCAGGAGCAACCGCGGCCGCCAGCGACAUCAGGCCUCAACUUGGACCUGAAACAGCAGCACUUAGUGCUGUCUUUUCUUUCUAGUCCCUCUGGUUGCUGCUGUUAGUGAGA
This 1483-nucleotide long non-coding RNA is filed under the name Ficedula albicollis (Collared flycatcher). RNAcentral's name for it is "lncRNA (ENSFALG00000028904.1)". The record is from RNAcentral. Lineage: Eukaryota; Metazoa; Chordata; Aves; Passeriformes; Muscicapidae.